UGAUGACAUCGAUAGAGUGGCUCAUCAUAUGCAAAUCAAUAGCGUUUUUCAUAUAAAUCCAGGCCUCUGUUUAAAAUGUUGUUCUUAUCGCGAUCAGGAAUCUUCCUCGGCAUCUGCAAAUAAAGCAUGGAUUAGUAUCAGAAGGUAUAACAGUCUGAAAACUGGUUCUGAUCUUUCCAAAUUUCCUAUGUUCAAUCUGCACGCUGUAAGUCUUGUGUUCAAUACUUGACACAUUACAGGAUGCAAUAGUCUCAAAAGAUGUAUCUAGCACCAUACUGGUGGAUGCGUUAAGUUCUCUUGGGGUGCUGAGAUCAAUUUUCCAUGCAUAUAAUAGGAGCAUUGCAGAAGUGCGUUUGUGACCACCUUUCACUUUUGUACGGUAGAAUUUAUCAUCAGCGAAAUUACUAUGAUCAUUCAUCACUACACUUUGUUAUUAUUUGGGAAAUACUUUGUCAUUAUUUAUUUAAUUUGAAGCAAUAUCUAAUAAGUUGCUGUUAUUGAACAACGUAGGGCACAUAUGACACUGAAUGGAUCACACACUUGACUUAAAAUGAUUUGAUCUUUGCUGGCGGAAGACAAUCUUGCACAGGCAUUUUGUUCCAUCAGAGAGUUGCAACCUGCAAUGGAACACUGUAAAGCAUCAAUCGAGGUAAAACUCUUGUUGUGCAUAAGUCACUUCAUCCUCAACUUUUUACAUUUGUGUUGAUUGGAUCUAAUUUCUGCGAGGAUAAAAUUCAUAAAUGAGACAUGGAUACCUCACUAGUCACUUGGUGUACUUGUUUAGUACAUAAAUAACUCCAAAUGAUGUUUUAAUGUUGUUUCACAUUCACAAUUGGCAGAUCCAGGAGAAGCUUUAUAAUCCUAAUCACAUUGUCAUUGGAUAUGAACUUGUGAAGCUCUCGUCUAUUCAGUUAUCCUUGAGUAACUGUGCUGCCGUAGACAGCAUAAACCGACCUUGUGAUAUAUUUUUGUGUUAUUAUGGAUCAUAUAUACAAGAUUUCCCGUACUUUCAUUCAAUUCCUU
This 1023-nucleotide long non-coding RNA is filed under the name Prunus dulcis (almond). Its description in RNAcentral is "sRNA ncRNA". Lineage: Eukaryota; Viridiplantae; Streptophyta; Magnoliopsida; Rosales; Rosaceae. The record is from RNAcentral.